RNAcentral lists this microRNA (22 nucleotides) under Mus musculus (house mouse). RNAcentral's name for it is "mmu-miR-7072-5p". Lineage: Eukaryota; Metazoa; Chordata; Mammalia; Rodentia; Muridae. The record is from miRBase by way of RNAcentral.
GAGGGGAGACAAGAGGCAAGGC